RNAcentral lists this ribosomal RNA (308 nucleotides) under uncultured bacterium. RNAcentral describes it as "bacterial SSU rRNA". It matches the Rfam family "Bacterial small subunit ribosomal RNA", at positions 30 to 334 of the family's 1533-position model. The record is from RNAcentral.
AUUGAACGCUGGCGGUAUGCUUAACACAUGCAAGUCGAACGGUAACAGCAGAAGCUUGCUUCUGGCUGACGAGUGGCGGACGGGUGAGUAACGCGUGGGAAUCUGCCUUAUAGUGGGGGAUAGCCCGGAGAAAUCCGGAUUAAUACCGCAUACGCCCUACGGGGGAAAGCUGGGGAUCUUCGGACCUGGCGCUAUUAGAUGAGCCCGCGUUAGAUUAGCUAGUUGGUGGGGUAAAGGCCUACCAAGGCAACGAUCUAUAGCUGGUCUGAGAGGACGAUCAGCCACACUGGGACUGAGACACGGCCCAG